CUGUUGUUGUUUACUUAGGUUUCUUGUCUUUGGAACGAUAGAGAAGAUUAGCAUGGCCCCUGCACAAGGAUGACACGCAAAUUCGUGAAGCGUCCAUAUUUUUA
RNAcentral lists this small nuclear RNA (104 nucleotides) under Nannospalax galili (Upper Galilee mountains blind mole rat). The record is from RNAcentral. Lineage: Eukaryota; Metazoa; Chordata; Mammalia; Rodentia; Spalacidae.